AAGGUUUUAAGUUAAAUAAACUAGUAGCCUUCAAAGCUGAAAAUAAAUUAUGUAUAUUUAAACCUUA
Molecule: transfer RNA, 67 nt
Filed under: Ocellarnaca fuscotessellata
Lineage: Eukaryota; Metazoa; Arthropoda; Insecta; Orthoptera; Gryllacrididae
Description: tRNA-Trp
Source: RNAcentral